Long non-coding RNA from Ornithorhynchus anatinus (platypus), 219 nucleotides. RefSeq lists it as uncharacterized. The transcript is spliced from 2 exons. Lineage: Eukaryota; Metazoa; Chordata; Mammalia; Monotremata; Ornithorhynchidae. The record is from RefSeq and is a predicted model, not a curated record.
AGAACCCGGGACUUCUGACUCCCAAGCCUGUGCUCUAUCCACUAGGCCACGCUGCUUCACAUACACAGGACAUUGGCGUGACGUAUCCUUCCCAGCCACUGAGUUGAACCAUUCCAACCUUUGUGUUUUUUUGCAUUUUUGCCACUUAGCAGAGGAUGUUCCCUGAUCUGAGUAGGGAAGAACAAAUCACAAUCAGGGCACAUUCCAGAAUGCCCAGAA